RNAcentral lists this ribosomal RNA (435 nucleotides) under uncultured Acidimicrobiales bacterium. Its description in RNAcentral is "bacterial SSU rRNA". It matches the Rfam family "Bacterial small subunit ribosomal RNA", at positions 341 to 792 of the family's 1533-position model. Lineage: Bacteria; Bacillati; Actinomycetota; Acidimicrobiia; Acidimicrobiales. The record is from RNAcentral.
ACGGGAGGCAGCAGUUAGGAAUCUUGCGCAAUGGACGAAAGUCUGACGCAGCGACGCCGCGUGCGGGAUGAAGGCCCUCGGGUUGUAAACCGCUUUCAGCAGGGACGAAAUUGACGGUACCUGCAGAAGAAGCCCCGGCCAACUACGUGCCAGCAGCCGCGGUAAUACGUAGGGGGCAAGCGUUGUCCGGAUUUAUUGGGCGUAAAGAGCUCGUAGGUGGUUCGGUAAGUCGGAUGUGAAAUCUCCAGGCUCAACCUGGAGGGGUCAUUCGAUACUGCCGUGACUAGAGUUCGGUAGGGGAGUGUGGAAUUCCUGGUGGAGCGGUGAAAUGCGCAGAUAUCAGGAGGAACACCCGUAGCGAAGGCGGCACUCUGGGCCGAUACUGACACUGAGGAGCGAAAGCGUGGGGAGCGAACAGGAUUAGAUACCCUGGUA